Molecule: long non-coding RNA, 6003 nt
Filed under: Trifolium pratense (red clover)
Lineage: Eukaryota; Viridiplantae; Streptophyta; Magnoliopsida; Fabales; Fabaceae
Description: long non-coding RNA (TPRA_LNC001841)
Source: RNAcentral
ACAGCAGCAACAGCAACUCCAACUUCAGCAACAGCUACAACAACUUCAACAGAUGAAAGGGUUUCAAGAUCUACCUCAAUUUAAGGGAAUGAAGAUGCCACCUAAUCAGAACCCAAACCAGCAAAUGCCUAAAGCUGUUAAAUUUGAUGUGCCUGAAGAUGAUGACGAUGAUUUUACUGACGAUGAAUUAGAUGAUGAUUAUGACGAAGAUGAUGAAGAUUUCGAUGACGAUGAUGAGUUUGAUGAUGAAAUGGCUGAUUUACCACCUAAUAAGAUGAAACCCUCUAUGCCUAUGGGAAAUGGUGCUCACAUGAUGUUGAAUGGGAAUCAUCCACAGUUUAUGAAUGCCAUGAAGGGUGCCAAUUUUAAUGGCGGUGGUGGUGGUGGUGGAAACGGGAAGAAACCUGGUGGUGGUGGUGGUGGACCUGUGCCGGUUCAAAUUCAGGGUAUGGUUGGUGGUAAUGGAAAUGGAGGAAAGAAAGAAGGCGGCGGCGGUGGAGGUAACAAAAAUAAUGGUGGUAUNNNNNNNNNNNNNNNNNNNNNNNNNNNNNNNNNNNNNNNNNNNNNNNNNNNNNNNNNNNNNNNNNNNNNNNNNNNNNNNNNNNNNNNNNNNNNNNNNNNNNNNNNNNNNNNNNNNNNNNNNNNNNNNNNNNNNNNNNNNNGCUUACCGGCAGGAGGCGGUGGAUACUUUCAAGGUGGUGGUGGUGGUGGUAUGGGUCCAGAAAUGAUGCCAGGAAAUCCUUACCAACAACAACAACAGCAACAUCAGCAGCAGCAACAACAACAGUUAAUGGCUGCUGCAAUGAACCAACAACGGGCUGCGAUGGCGGGAGGAAAUGAUCAGAGAUUUCAGCAACCAAUGAUGUAUGCAAGGCCACCUCCAGCAGUGAAUUACAUGUAUCCUCCUCCUUACGCUUAUCCUCCUCCUCCAGAUCCUUACACACACUAUUUCAGUGAUGAAAAUACUUCCAGCUGCAAUAUCAUGUGAUGAUCUAAUUCAUCUCAACCAAGUGAAGGUUCAAACUAUAGUAUUUACCCUACUCUAAUUUUAUUAUGCAAUCAAUACCAAUGGAACAUGAGUUUUUUAUUUUCAUUUUUCUUUGCUUUGAUCCCCUUUUCAACUUAGGGGUUUCUAAUUACCUGUAGUUUAUAGAUAUCUUAUAAUAAUAUUACUAUUAUUAUUAUGUUCUUUGAGAGUAAGUAGUAAGUACUUCCUAUUUUAUUUUUUUUAUAUAUUAUAUGUGUUUAUAUUUUGGAAAUAGUAAUAAAAAUAUUUCAGAAAAAAAGUUAGCAAUAUUCUUGUUAUUGAGAAUGGAAUGAACAAAAUUCCCAAUUCUGUUUGCUCAUUUGAUAAACUCAUCCAAUUGUCUAUUUACUAAACAAUCAAUCACAUUGUUUGUGUUUGGGUGUCUAGUAUUAAAUUAUUGGCUUAUCUUAUUGUGUUAUGGCAUCUUACUAUAUCUUAUCUGUAUACAUUAUUUUGUGUCUCCCUUUGUUAUUUUGGGUUUGGACCCACCCAGUUGGAAUCUCUCUAUUUCUCAUAACAAAUGAAGUUGAUUUUAAUUUGGAUCUACUAUCCCAAAUCCAACCCAAACAGUGGUUUUCAAUCACAAUCUAGUAUUAAUCAGUGGUAUUUAUAUGUCGUUUUCUAAUUUUAAGGUUAUUAUGGCAUAUGCAUCUUCAUAACUAUCCUAUAAUUGUGUGGUUGACAUUGUAAUUGAUCAUAAUGUGUAGAAUUGAUGUUUCAUCCGAAGAAUUAUUGAUGUACAGUUAAUAUAUAUAGCAAUAUGUGUGUAGAAUAGAAUUGAAUUGUUGAUGAUAAUGGUGCGGAUAUGAUAUUAGCUGCAUAGUAACAGUUCACUCACUGUUGAACCAGCUGAGGCUCAACUAAAUGUAAUACUUACGUAACUGAACCAAAUCUUUAGCUGUACACCCAAAUCACCUGGGUUGGUUCUUUUUUUUUUUCUUAAAUGUUUUCAAGCUUUUUAGUGUAGUAUAUUUAGUUAUUGGGUCAUAAGUCUUCUAAAGUCAAAGGAGUUGUUUCUAUAAUUUGGUGUAUUAGUCCAACAAUCAAUAAAAAUAAGCCACAUACACCAAACUUUUAUUUAACAUGCAAUAUUUUUUGGCAGAUGCGUCAUGCCCCUAAAUUAUCGAGGGAUAAAUUAAAAAAAAAAACAAAGAGAAAAUAUUGAGCAUAAAUACAGAAGAUGAUCUAAUUUAAUUUUUUUUAUUCCACAAAAAUUUAGGUAUAGAUCUCAAAUAAUGUUGAUAAUGAGAUACUUUUUUUAUCAUCCACAACAGUGGUUUCAUGUUUUUGUGAGAGUUGAACUCAUAUGAAAUACAGUGUAUGAUCUAUUCUUUCCUAUAUAUUCAUUACAUAAUUAAUAUAUUUUUGUCUAUCAUAUAAUCAAAUACAUUAACUAUACAAUAAAUUAAAAAAAAAAUUACUUAGGGAAUGAGUAUUUCUUAGUACCUAUGGCUAUGCUAUUUUUUUUUUCAAUAUUAGUAAUUUUAUUAUUAAGUGAUUUCAACUCUCUUUUGAUCGCAAUUGCUGGUGAUCGAACUGUAAUACUUCUUACCUAUUUUAGCGUCAAUUAACACUAAACCAACGAUAUAACUAUGCUAUUUUUGUUUAUGAUUUGUUGAGGCACGCAAAGUAAUGUGGUAGUAAUUAAUUAAAGAAGGAAAAUGUUAAACAGAGCCCCCGGGACACUAGUUAAAUAUACAAAUAUAGAAGUUUUAUCUCGUAAAUUGUGCAUUCAAUGUUUUAAUUAUGUAAAAAGUUAUUCUCUCUCAUCAUUAACUUUAUUAUUUAUUUCAUUUUUUAGUAUGCUUAACUAGUUCCCCAGACGCACUAUUUAGCAUGACCCAUUAAAAGAAUGGUAUGCAUAAGUUUUGGAUUUUUAUAAUUAAAUAAUUGUACUAGUCUUUGUUUCAAUUUGAGGAAAUCAUGGAUGUGUGCGUGGUGGGGUGCACACCGAUGAAGUUGCGCAUGGACCCCAGCUAUAUAUAUCAAUCGGCCUAAUUAAUUAAUAUGCUCUUGUGACUAGUGGGGUUUAAUGGUGGGUCAUAUACAUCAUCACCGUCACUACAAUUGUGAUAAACACCAAAUUCUUCUGUCAGGAGUGAAUUUAUUUUACACAGUACUAGUACUAGUACUAAUCUUACAUCUUAUUUAAUAAUUAUGGUUACUGUUCCCACUAAGUAACUUAACUUUACAUCUAAAUUUCAACCUCUUGAAUAAAUCAUAGUACAAAUUGGAUAUAGUAGUUAGGUGGUGUAGUGUAGAAUAUUUAGGAUAUUCACAUGGGUUGACUGUUGAAUCUGAUAUGAUAUCAUCAUUCCUUGAGUGAGUACAUCAUAAUUCUUCACUAUGAUUCUUAUAUAAAGCUUUUAUUUAGAUAUUAUAUCUUUUUUGUCAUAUGAAUUAUAAGUUUAAAAUUCGAUCUUACCGAACAGAUUCAUGAUAUAAAUUAGUAUUUACUAUAAAUUUAUCUGCUAUAAAUUAAAUUAUCAAUUAUCCAUCAUUUUUUACCAAAUAGGCAUAUAUACAUGAAAUCUAAAUCUAUUAAGUAAGAAUAUACUUGGAUGAUCUAUGAUAUAAAUUUUCAAUAUAACAGUGAAUUCGGUAUUCGUUAUAAGUGGUGCAUCGUGGUGCACCGUGCACACCACUUGAUCAGCUCUUUCAUGUUAGCCUUCACCUAUGUUUUGUGUAUAUAUAUGGUUCGUAGGAAGAGGGGACGACCUGUCGAAUUCACAUCAGAAAUUGCCAGAACACAAAUGAAAUCUUGAAUUGCAUAUAGAAACAAAACGAACCAUUUAUGUCUCGGAGCUGAGGUAUAUGAAGAAUGGCUUUUUGGUCUCUUUCGUCCAAUGGUUAGGACAUCAAGUCUAUGGUCAAAUAUUUCAUCAAGUUUUCUACGCUACAUAAGUCACGAAUAUUAUUAUAACGAAUACGAAUUUUAUAAAAUUCAUCGUCGAAUUAAAACUUAAUAUCAUAUAGACCAUUCAUAAUUUUUCUUUUAAAAAAAUCAAAAAUCAUUUGAUAUGUUAUUGAGAUUUAUCAAAAUUAACGGUUGAUGAAUUUUUAUUGAAUACCGUUAAUCUGAAUCGUCCAAUCUAUCAAUACUUUCGAGAACUAAUUUGACAACGCGUCAUACUUAAUAAUUUUGAUAUUUUUAAGAGUUUAAUUGAUAUGCACUCACAGUGUAAAAUAGUUUUACACAAUCGUCCAAUAAAUCAUCAUUAUUUUAUCAUAUCGUAUCAAGAAAGUGAGGUAAAGUAGGGUAAUGUGGCGGAAACAUGAUUGAUAUUGGUUGACGGUGUAAACAAUUAAAUCCUAUUUUUAAAGCUGAGUUAAGAUCUGUGAAUGUGUGUGUGAAUAAUUGCAAAAUCCAGUACUUCAAUAAAUAAUUGCACCAAAACAAAGAUGAACUCUUGGAACACCGUUACUUUGCUUACCCCCAUUUUUCUCAACAAUGACUACUACAGUACUACUCAUCAUUCUCUCUGAACCUUUCUAGUUUUGUUUCAUGUCUCUGCUUUGAGACUUUAGAACCAUUUCUUCUACUUGUAAUUUCAUUCUAAAAAAGUAAAAAAUAAAAAAAGUCUACCAAACAAGAAACUACAUUUUUUUCCCCCUCAUUUCUUCUCUGUUUUCUCAGAUCUAAAAUCUCAGUUGCCCAGAUCUUUGUUUAUCACAAGUUACAUACUUUCCUUGUGUUAGUUGGUGGUUGUGUAUAAAAAAUGAGUAAAGAAGAAUUUUUGAAGAUACAGGUACUCCCAUCACAUUCUCAAUGUCUGUUUACUUUUGUGUUUUAUUUUGUUUUGUUUUGUUUUGUUUUAUCUCAUUUGAUUUUUAUUUUGCUUUUGUAUUCAGAAAUCUGUUCUUAAAGUAAACAUACACUGUGAUGGAUGCAAACAAAAAGUAAAGAAAAUCUUGCAGAAAAUUGAUGGUAUGCAAUGCAGCACUAUUAUGAUUUAUUUAUUUUUAUAUAGUUUCAAUUAUUAUUAUCCUAAGUAAAACAAAACAAAACCUUAAUUUUACCGACCUAGAAUUGAAUAUGUUGUUUUUGUUGAUUAAUGAAUGGCAGGGGUGUUUACAAUUGAGAUAGAUGCAGAACAAGGGAAGGUUACAGUUUCAGGAAAUGUGGACCCAAACAUUCUCAUCAAGAAGCUUGCAAAAUCAGGGAAACAUGCUGAGUUAUGGACUGUACCUAAACCAAACAACAACAACAAUAAUAAUAAUAAUAAUAAUAAUAAUAAUAAUAAUAAUAAUAAUAAUAAUAACAAUCAGAACAACCUUGUUAACCAGUUGAAGAACAUGCAGCAAAUUGACAAGGGAAAAACUAGUGGAGGAAACAACAACAACAAAGGACAGAAUCAAAAUCAGCAGAACCAGAAGGGUGGUGGUGGUGGUGGUGGAAACAAUAACCAACCCAAAGGUGGUGUUCCACAAGGACUAAAUCCACAGCAGCAACAGCAACUCCAACUUCAGCAACAGCUACAACAACUCCAACAGAUGAAAGGGUUUCAAGAUCUACCUCAAUUCAAGGGAAUGAAGAUGCCACCUAAUCAGAACCCAAACCAGCAAAUGCCUAAAGCUGUUAAAUUUGAUGUGCCUGAAGAUGACGAGGGUGAGUUUAGUGACGAUGAAUUAGAUGAUUAUGACGACGAAGAUGAUGAUGAAGAUUUUGAUGAUGAGUUUGAUGAUGAAAUGGUUGGUUUACCACCUAAUAAGAUGAAACCGUCUAUGCCUAUGGGGAAUGGUGCUCACAUGAUGUUGAAUGGGAAUCAUCAACAGCUUAUGAAUGCCAUGAAGGGUGCCAAUUUCAAUCCUGGUGGUGGUGGUGGUGGAAACGGGAAGAAACCUGGUGGUGGUGGACCUGUGCCGGCUCAAAUUCAGGGUAUGGUUGGUGGUAAUGGAAAUGGAGGAAAGAAAGAAGGCGGCGGCGGCGGUGGAGGUAACAAAAAUAAUGGUGGCAUGCCAGAGGCUAAAAAUGG